RNAcentral lists this long non-coding RNA (1009 nucleotides) under Eucalyptus grandis. Its description in RNAcentral is "long non-coding RNA (EGRA_LNC003353)". Lineage: Eukaryota; Viridiplantae; Streptophyta; Magnoliopsida; Myrtales; Myrtaceae. The record is from RNAcentral.
CCAAAAAAGGCAAAAAGAGACAUUGUCUCAUCCUCUCUAUUUAUAAGAUAAAAUAUUACCAUGCCUUUAGACAUACAAGAUUCCCACUAUUUGUCUCAGUAGCACAUGGCCUUGUUCUUAUUUGGAAAAUUCCUCCAAAAGGGAAAAGAAGGAUAAAAAACAAUAAAGAAAAAGACAAGUGAGGCUGAGAGAUUGUUAAAUAGCAAAAAGCAUGUGAGCUUUCAGCUGUCCCUUAUGUGACCACGUCUCCUUCCACUAUCUUCUUUUUCUUGAAUUGACUUCACCUUUAAUCAUCACGCCUUGCAAAUUCCAUGCUCAGAGAAGAUUCCUCAGAAAUAGUGCCCACUGAAUCAGAUGUACACACGACGAUGCAACAAAGCUGUUUCUAGAUCCCAAAGAAAAGAUUUUCUUUGGCAUUAUGGAGGACUAAUUGGGUGUGUUUCUUCAAUGUCCGAACAUGAAUGCAACUUGAUGGUUCAAGAUCAAGGGGAAUUGCCAUCCGGUUGGGGUUUGGUGAUAGAAAGAGUGAAAUAUAUGAGAAGGAUUGUUCCCAUGCUUGAUCUGCCAUAUAGAGAGGGAAAUGUUUAGUGAAAUGGAAUGAUCAUCAAUGCGUAACUUCAAUAUCUAGCUAAACAUAUUGUAAUUUUGGUUCAAUACAACUAAACAAUUAUACGAUUGUAGUGUAAGUGCUUUAAGAUCAGCAAUGGAGCUGAAAAGUUAUGUAGAAAGAUGGCCAGGUGAGGACACUCAAGAGGGCUUACAAGGUAGCAAAGAAGACGAAAAUCCUCUUAGGUUCAAGAAUCCAUGAAAGAGAAGUACGUCUUGAGCCACUCCUCCGAACGAUGCAUUUGCCACCGGCUAUGGUGCAUUUGCCGUCAUUGACGACACCGGAGAUGGUGGUGGUGAUAGUAUUCUGAUGAUUUGCUCGUGUGUCGUUAGAAUGCUCCGCUGUCAUCCCUCCGGCCUCCAUGUUUGGUCUUUCCGCUGUGCUAAUAAUGAUAGCCUCUUC